This 242-nucleotide ribosomal RNA is filed under the name uncultured bacterium. RNAcentral describes it as "partial 16S ribosomal RNA". It matches the Rfam family "Bacterial small subunit ribosomal RNA", at positions 90 to 334 of the family's 1533-position model. The record is from RNAcentral.
CCCUAGCGGCGAACGGGUGAGUAACACGUGGGCAACCUGCCCCUAGCACUGGGAUAAGCCCGGGAAACCGGGUCUAAUACCGGAUAUGAGGGCCGAGGGCAUCCUCGGCCUUGUAAAGGAUUCCGGCUAGGGAUGGGCCCGCGGCCUAUCAGCUUGUUGGUGGGGUGAUGGCCUACCAAGGCGACGACGGGUAGCCGGCCUGAGAGGGCGACCGGCCACACUGGGACUGAGACACGGCCCAG